AAGGCAACUUAUGAGGGAGCU
Molecule: non-coding RNA, 21 nt
Filed under: Arabidopsis thaliana (thale cress)
Lineage: Eukaryota; Viridiplantae; Streptophyta; Magnoliopsida; Brassicales; Brassicaceae
Source: RNAcentral